Molecule: long non-coding RNA, 362 nt
Filed under: Eucalyptus grandis
Lineage: Eukaryota; Viridiplantae; Streptophyta; Magnoliopsida; Myrtales; Myrtaceae
Description: long non-coding RNA (EGRA_LNC006743)
Source: RNAcentral
UGGUCAUGUACGACGUGGGCUUGGCUGAGGGCCCAGUCAUCCAGGAGUUUUUGUCUGUUCAUGUCCGCCGAGACGGAGUGUUUAGGGGAAUGUUGCCGCCACCACCACCCGAUGCACCUGGAUGGGUGUGAUGGUUGCGUGAAGGGUAGAGAGCUGGUGUCAUCUUUUUGGGGAGUAGCCGCCACUGUUGGAUGGGGGAUGUCAUGUGAUUUUCUUUAGGGGUCGUAGUAUCUUUUUGGGAUGAGGCCGAGUGUGGCUAAAAAUCUUGGUCUCCUUUUGUUGUAUCAACCCGUGAAAAACCCAUCAUGAUAAUAUGUAAAUAAAAGUGGCAUGGCUUAUCUUUUAAAUCCUGAUGAUUAGUG